GACGUAGGGCGCGAGCGUUGUCCGGAUUUAUUGGGCGUAAAGAGCUCGUAGGCGGCUUGUUGCGUCAGCUGUGAAAACCCGCAGCUCAACUGUGGGCUUGCAGCUGAUACGGGCAGGCUUGAGUUCGGUAGGGGAGACUGGAAUUCCUGGUGUAGCGGUGAAAUGCGUAGAUAUUGGGAGGAAUACCAGUGGCGAAGGCGGCUCCCUGGACCGGUACUGACGCUGAGGUGCGAAAGCGUGGGGAGCAAACAGG
This 253-nucleotide ribosomal RNA is filed under the name uncultured bacterium. RNAcentral's name for it is "partial 16S ribosomal RNA". It matches the Rfam family "Bacterial small subunit ribosomal RNA", at positions 524 to 776 of the family's 1533-position model. The record is from RNAcentral.